CCUACGGGUGGCAGCAGUGGGGAAUAUUGGGCAAUGGGCGCAAGCCUGACCCAGCAACGCCGCGUGAAGGAAGAAGGCUUUCGGGUUGUAAACUUCUUUUCUCAGGGACGAAGCAAGUGACGGUACCUGAGUAAUAAGCCACGGCUAACUACGUGCCAGCAGCCGCGGUAAUACGUAGGUGGGAAGCGUUAUCCGGAUUUACUGGGUGUAAAGGGCGUGUAGGCGGGAAAGCAAGUCAGAUGUGAAAACCAUGGGCUCAACCCGUGGCCUGCAUUUGAAACUGUUUUUCUUGAGUACUGGAGAGGCAGACGGAAUUCCUAGUGUAGCGGUGAAAUGCGUAGAUAUUAGGAGGAACACCAGUGGCGAAGGCAGUCUGCUGGACAGCAACUGACGCUGAGGCGCGAAAGCGUGGGGAGCAAACAGGAUUAGAUACCCCUGUAGUC
Molecule: ribosomal RNA, 443 nt
Filed under: uncultured bacterium
Lineage: Bacteria
Description: partial 16S ribosomal RNA
Rfam family: Bacterial small subunit ribosomal RNA
Source: RNAcentral